Molecule: long non-coding RNA, 430 nt
Filed under: Capra hircus (goat)
Lineage: Eukaryota; Metazoa; Chordata; Mammalia; Artiodactyla; Bovidae
Description: lncRNA (ENSCHIG00000002702.1)
Source: RNAcentral
AGGACAGCGCCGCUGCCACCGCUCGGCCCUGCCCGCCGCCUGCGCCGCGCAGCCCUCACGCGCGCCUGGAUGGCGCUUUCCACCCCGGACCGGUUUAGAAUGUAAUAAUUCAAGAAUUUUAUCAUCAAGUGGAAUAGCUUAACAACUGUCUAUGUGCUUUCCAUGAUAUGUUCUCUACAGUGGCAUCCGGAGAUGCUGUUCCUUGACAGCACCUGACACUGUGAGACCUACAAGGCCCAAGGUAAGCCUUACUCUGCUUUCUUCUAGUCCUUUCCUUGUUGGAGCCCCUGAGGUUAUAAAAUCUAUCAAAAGUGAUUUGGAACUUACUAAUUCUUGAUCCUGCUUCAAGAAAGAAGGGAGCUAGAGCUCCUGCUGCUAUUUUGCGGGAGCUGGAGGUAGCAGUGGGCCGACUGUUAGCAUGUCAUUUCAG